UCAAACUUGGUCAUUUAGAGGAAGUAAAAGUCGUAACAAGGUCUCCGUAGGUGAACCUGCGGAGGGAUCAUUACCGAGCGAGGGCCACUGGUCCGACCUCCAACCCUUUGAUUACCAUUUCUUGUUGCCUCGGGGGUGACCCGGCCUCUUCGGACCGGGGCCCCCGGCGGACCACAUACCCUGCGUCAUUGCGUCGGUUGAUACGAUAAAUGAAUUAAAACUUUCAACAACGGAUCUCUUGGUUCUGGCAUCGAUGAAGAACGCAGC
Molecule: unclassified non-coding RNA, 267 nt
Filed under: uncultured fungus
Lineage: Eukaryota; Fungi
Description: partial contains small subunit ribosomal RNA, internal transcribed spacer 1, and 5.8S ribosomal RNA
Rfam family: Eukaryotic small subunit ribosomal RNA (bases 1-73)
Source: RNAcentral